This 233-nucleotide ribosomal RNA is filed under the name uncultured bacterium. RNAcentral describes it as "partial 16S ribosomal RNA". It matches the Rfam family "Bacterial small subunit ribosomal RNA", at positions 15 to 244 of the family's 1533-position model. The record is from RNAcentral.
GAUCCUGGCUCAGAUUGAACGCUGGCGGCAGGCCUAACACAUGCAAGUCGAGCGGUAGCACAGAAGAGCUUGCUCUUUGGGUGACGAGCGGCGGACGGGUGAGUAAUGUCUGGGAAACUGCCUGAUGGAGGGGGAUAACUACUGGAAACGGUAGCUAAUACCGCAUAACGUCGCAAGACCAAAGUGGGGGACCUUCGGGCCUCAUGCCAUCAGAUGUGCCCAGAUGGGAUUAG